This is a long non-coding RNA of Solanum pennellii, 1648 nucleotides long. RefSeq lists it as uncharacterized. Lineage: Eukaryota; Viridiplantae; Streptophyta; Magnoliopsida; Solanales; Solanaceae. The transcript has 4 exons. The record is from RefSeq and is a predicted model, not a curated record.
UUUGCAAAGUACCAACCUUAGAAGGUUAACUUUAAUAAUUUAAUUUAGUGAUUGAAAUUUGAAUUACACCAAUAAUAAAAUGUCACUCAAUGUUAUAUUAGAUUCAAUGUUAAUUAUCCGUCAAAGGACAUAAAUAGGAAAAAAUUAAUUAGAUAUAUAUUUCUAAUAAAAUAGGUAAAUGAAGAGUAUAUUCCGCUGAAAAAAAGGUUGAUUUUUUCCCUUCAGCGGAAUUUUGUAAAAUUUGAUGGUUGCCAUUAGUUGCGCAUGAUUACUGUAGAGUUAACAAUGGCGGCUUCAGAUGCUUCAUCAGACUAUUACAUGACUGGAUCUGCUCAACCAGGAGUAGCAACCCAGUCGGGUGCAGCACCGGCAGUGACCACUCCCAAGAAAAAGCGAGGUAGACCCAGAGCCACGCCUAUUUCUGUAAAGCCAAUUUCAUCCGUCGCACCUUUUCUCAGGUGAUUGAUUUUUAGGCGAAAGUCCGGCCAGUUGGGUCAGCUAUUACAGUUGUAUCAGCCCAAAGUUGAUGUUGAGAAAUGAGAAGUCAGGAUGUCAGCAUGAAGGUUUUAUCAUUCUUUCAACAAGGGUCUCGGUCAAUGUGUAUUCUCUCAGCAACUGGUGUAAUCUCUAGUGUCACAUUUCAUCAAACAGAUACUUCUGGUGGUAAAGUGACAUUUGAGGUGUUGCAUCUUAUUACUUUGCUCUUGUUAUGGUUAAUCUUCUGAUUAUCUUGUGCCAAUAUCAUUUUGAAGAGCCAUGUACAUUUGAUGAUUGCUUCUACGCGUGAGGUUCCAUUGUAUGGUAUUCUUUCUUGGCCUAUCAAAUGAUGUAGUACUAUAUGCAAUUCUGGUAAUUAGGUGUCAGGUAAACGUUAUUGAUGAAAUAUUUAGCCUAAGUAGUCUCUUAAAUAUUAAAACUUUCUAUUCUUCUGUUUUUCAGUUUUAUCUAUAGAUACAAAUAUAGGUUAAUUUUGGAUUUUUUUUAUAAUAAUGUGAAAGACUUAUCAGAUUGAUGGCAUUGAUCUUAUUGGUGCACUUUCUUUCAUUUGAAGGCACGGUGCUUUUGUUACCUUAAAACAAAUAGUUUUCAUUCUCUGACUGCCUUGGGCAUGGACGUGCGUUUUCUUGUACCUGUAGACUAUGGUAUCAUCCAAGUCCCUAAAAUCGGGCCGGUAUGAUUUACUUACUUCCGCUGGAUCAUAUGUGCAUUCCGAGACUGGAGGAAUGAGAAACUUAUCUGGUGGAAUGAGUCUGUCUCUAUUAAUCCCGAGGGACGUGUCAUUGGUGGUCGGAUUGACGGUCAAUUGGUAGCUGCCAGUCCUGUGCAGAUUCUUCUGGGCAUCCUUCCUGAAAAUUAGCAUGAGCAGAUGUGAGCUGCAUAUCAUUCCCUUCCUAUUGAUCCAUAUCCAGUGAGGUCUUUUUAGUAAUCUGAACUAGUUUUUCUAGAAAGUAUUUUUUUUGCCUUCCCAUCUGGUGUUUCGUAUUAGAAUUGCGGAGGUACAAUGGCCCCCGAAAAAGAUAAUUUUCAUUUGUUGUUGAGGUUCCCUUUCUAGUUUUAGCAAAUGCCAGACAACUUCUCGUGGCAAUGCAUGUGAACUGCUGCGGUCCUCUUCAGGACAAAAAAAUAUUUGAUCAUUGGCUUUUCAGAA